GACUUGUUUUAAUGAUCAGCUUUUGGAGAAUCAUAUCAAGAAUGAGCUUAUAGAGAAUAGUCAGCUGGUCCAUGCACUGCCUAGCUCUGAGGAAAGCAAAUUGCCUACUUCUGAGCCUCGGAAAUCUGCAUCUAUAGCUUGUGGAGCAAGUGUUUUUGAAGUUUCCUUGAAGGUUCCUACAUGGGCUUCACAGGUUUUGAGGCAACUGGCACCAGAUGUUUCUUACCGCAGCAUAGUUAUGCUAGGAAUUGCUAGCAUUCAGGGAUUGUCUGUGGCUUCCUUUGAGAAAGAUGAUGCAGAACGCCUCCUUUUCUUUUGUUCAAAGGAAGGCAAAGAACUAUAUGCUAACAACUUAGUUCUCACUAAGCCUCCUAGCUGGUUGAUACCUCCUGCACCUAGUCGAAAAAGAUCUGAGCCAUACAGAGAAACUAAACCUUUCACUUCUAUUGGACAUGAACGAGAAAAUGGAGGAAAUCUUAAACAGAAACUGAAUGUUGCUGCAAUGAGGCCAAUCCCUCACACUCGGUGUCAUAAGAUGUUGCCUUUUUCUGGAUUUUCUGAGGGCGAAAGAUAUGAUGGAGAUCAAGGAAAGCCUAAUUUGCCAGUUCCUCCUGCAAAGCAUGGUGUUGUCGGCCCAGCUCCUGUCUCUCAUCGGAAAUCUCUGUCUAGCUCUUAUCAGGCUCAGCAGAUUAUUUCUCUAAAUCCAUUGCCUCUAAAGAAACAUGGUUGUGGCAGAGCACCUAUACAAGUUUGCUCAGAGGAGGAAUUUUUGAGGGAUGUGAUGCAGUUCCUGAUCCUUCGCGGACAUACUCGCCUUGUUCCACAGGGUGGACUGGCUGAGUUUCCUGAUGCCAUCCUUAAUGCAAAACGCCUGGACCUUUUCAACUUGUAUAGAGAGGUUGUUUCAAGAGGAGGCUUUCAUGUUGGGAAUGGCAUCAACUGGAAAGGACAGGUUUUCUCAAAGAUGCGCAAUCAUACAUUGACCAAUAGAAUGACUGGUGUUGGCAAUACAUUGAAAAGACAUUAUGAAACUUACCUUUUGGAAUAUGAAUUAGCCCAUGAUGAUGUGGAUGGAGAAUGUUGCUUGUUGUGUCACAGUAGUGCGGCUGGGGACUGGGUGAACUGUGGAAUAUG
Molecule: unclassified non-coding RNA, 1134 nt
Filed under: Hevea brasiliensis (rubber tree)
Lineage: Eukaryota; Viridiplantae; Streptophyta; Magnoliopsida; Malpighiales; Euphorbiaceae
Source: RNAcentral